Long non-coding RNA from Malania oleifera, 538 nucleotides. RefSeq lists it as uncharacterized. The record is from RefSeq and is a predicted model, not a curated record. The transcript has 3 exons. Lineage: Eukaryota; Viridiplantae; Streptophyta; Magnoliopsida; Santalales; Ximeniaceae.
UCCCUCCUUUCUUCUUUCUGCAUGUGCGCGUCCUCCCCGGCCAUCCCCGCCGCUGCUGUUGCUUGUGUGAGCUCCUGCUGCCGCCGUUGCCACCGCCGCUCGCCUGAGGUAGCUCCACUUCUGUUGCCGCCACCGCUCCCAGCUUCUUGCAUCCCGUUCGGCUGUUCUGAAUAUGGAAGACCUACAACCUUCGAAUCAUGCAACUGAUGGUGUUGUUGAUAUUGAAGCACGAUUCACAGAUUUCUGCAAGGGAGUGCAAGUGCACAUCAAAGUCCAAAGUCCAUCCGACCUUCUGAAAUGUCUCCAGCUCCAAGCAUGCUUCCACCUUGAGGUCAGACUUUUUUUUCUAAAAUAAUUUCUCUGAAAUCCAUCCAAAUUCUAGCAGAAAAUUUCUAAAAUAUUGUAGCAAAUCUAGAAUGAAUGCUAGCAGGAUUAGGAAUCUGGAACUGAUUCUGGCAGGAUCAAAAUGUAGCUAUAAAUUUUCAAUUUAUUGUGAUCAGAAUCAAUUUCUCGGCCAUAUUCUUGAUUGUCUUGGCUA